UGGGGAAUAUUGCACAAUGGGCGCAAGCCUGAUGCAGCCAUGCCGCGUGUAUGAAGAAGGCCUUCGGGUUGUAAAGUACUUUCAGCGGGGAGGAAGGGAGUAAAGUUAAUACCUUUGCUCAUUGACGUUACCCGCAGAAGAAGCACCGGCUAACUCCGUGCCAGCAGCCGCGGUAAUACGGAGGGUGCAAGCGUUAAUCGGAAUUAUUGGGCGUAAAGCGCACGCAGGCGGUUUGUUAAGUCAGAUGUGAAAUCCCCGGGCUCAACCUGGGAACUGCAUCUGAUACUGGCAAGCUUGAGUCUCGUAGAGGGGGGUAGAAUUCCAGGUGUAGCGGUGAAAUGCGUAGAGAUCUGGAGGAAUACCGGUGGCGAAGGCGGCCCCCUGGACGAAGACUGACGCUCAGGUGCGAAAGCGUGGGGAGCAAACA
Molecule: ribosomal RNA, 427 nt
Filed under: uncultured bacterium
Lineage: Bacteria
Description: partial 16S ribosomal RNA
Rfam family: Bacterial small subunit ribosomal RNA
Source: RNAcentral